Molecule: non-coding RNA, 182 nt
Organism: Podarcis lilfordi (Lilford's wall lizard)
Lineage: Eukaryota; Metazoa; Chordata; Lepidosauria; Squamata; Lacertidae
Source: the annotation of a GenBank genome assembly
UCCGUUUCCCCAAAUGUGAGCACCAGUAUCAUAUAUGUCAAAUGUUAGUCAGGCCAUAUUGUUCAAAGAAUCUGAACAUGUAUUAUAUGAAAGGUAUUAUAUAAUACAUGUUCAAAUUCUUUGCACAAUAUGACCUAACAUAUGACGUAUAUGAUACUGGUGUUCACCUUUGGAGAAACGGA